This 496-nucleotide ribosomal RNA is filed under the name uncultured bacterium. RNAcentral's name for it is "partial 16S ribosomal RNA". It matches the Rfam family "Bacterial small subunit ribosomal RNA", at positions 28 to 506 of the family's 1533-position model. The record is from RNAcentral.
GAUGAACGCUGGCGGCGUGCCUAAUACAUGCAAGUCGAGCGAACAGACGAGGAGCUUGCUCCUCUGACGUUAGCGGCGGACGGGUGAGUAACACGUGGAUAACCUACCUAUAAGACUGGGAUAACUUCGGGAAACCGGAGCUAAUACCGGAUAACAUGUUGAACCGCAUGGUUCAACAGUGAAAGACGGUCUUGCUGUCACUUAUAGAUGGAUCCGCGCCGCAUUAGCUAGUUGGUAAGGUAACGGCUUACCAAGGCAACGAUGCGUAGCCUACCUGAGAGGGUGAUCGGCCACACUGGAACUGAGACACGGUCCAGGCUCCUACGGGAGGCAGCAGUAGGGAAUCGUCCGGAAGGGGCGAAAGCCUGACGGAGCAACGCCGCGUGAGUGAAGAAGGUCUUCGGAUCGUAAAACUCUGUUAUUAGGGAAGAACAAAUGUGUAAGUAACUAUGCACGUCUUGACGGUACCUAAUCAGAAAGCCACGGCUAACUACGU